Molecule: ribosomal RNA, 733 nt
Filed under: Burkholderia cepacia
Lineage: Bacteria; Pseudomonadati; Pseudomonadota; Betaproteobacteria; Burkholderiales; Burkholderiaceae
Description: bacterial SSU rRNA
Rfam family: Bacterial small subunit ribosomal RNA
Source: RNAcentral
GCCGCGUGUGUGAAGAAGGCCUUCGGGUUGUAAAGCACUUUUGUCCGGAAAGAAAUCCUUGGCUCUAAUACAGUCGGGGGAUGACGGUACCGGAAGAAUAAGCACCGGCUAACUACGUGCCAGCAGCCGCGGUAAUACGUAGGGUGCAAGCGUUAAUCGGAAUUACUGGGCGUAAAGCGUGCGCAGGCGGUUUGCUAAGACCGAUGUGAAAUCCCCGGGCUCAACCUGGGAACUGCAUUGGUGACUGGCAGGCUAGAGUAUGGCAGAGGGGGGUAGAAUUCCACGUGUAGCAGUGAAAUGCGUAGAGAUGUGGAGGAAUACCGAUGGCGAAGGCAGCCCCCUGGGCCAAUACUGACGCUCAUGCACGAAAGCGUGGGGAGCAAACAGGAUUAGAUACCCUGGUAGUCCACGCCCUAAACGAUGUCAACUAGUUGUUGGGGAUUCAUUUCCUUAGUAACGUAGCUAACGCGUGAAGUUGACCGCCUGGGGAGUACGGUCGCAAGAUUAAAACUCAAAGGAAUUGACGGGGACCCGCACAAGCGGUGGAUGAUGUGGAUUAAUUCGAUGCAACGCGAAAAACCUUACCUACCCUUGACAUGGUCGGAAUCCUGNCGAGAGGCGGGAGUGCUCGAAAGAGAACNGGCGCACAGGUGCUGCAUGGCUGUCGNCAGCUCGUGUCGUGAGAUGNUGGGUUAAGUCCCGCAACGAGCGCACCNUUGGUCUUAGUUGCUAC